Molecule: long non-coding RNA, 704 nt
Organism: Exaiptasia diaphana
Lineage: Eukaryota; Metazoa; Cnidaria; Anthozoa; Actiniaria; Aiptasiidae
Exons: 4
Source: RefSeq, a predicted model, not a curated record
UGCUAGAAGAUGUUGUAGAUGAUGCUUGUUUGGAAGGAGAAGAUUGACGACUCAAUGACAAUGACUUUGCAGGAGAUUUUGAUGUGAUUGAUGUUGCCUUGACAACUGGCUUUGAUUACCUUUCUUUAAAACCUGUCAUGGCUUGCUCACCAAUCCUUGAAUGCAGUGCUGACAGACUCUAAACAAAAUUAGAAGAACAGAGAAAUCUGAUGAGUUAAUAGUAGAUGAUGUUGSAGGUGCUGGUGGGGGUUGUGCAGUACAACUACUCCCAAAAGGAGUACCAGAGGUGGCUCCCGAUGGAACCAGUGGGGGAGGGGGUAUAGACGGUUUUGGUAUAUUUGCUUCAGUUUGUUGUUUCAUUAAAUGCCGCUGCUGUAUUUUCAACAUUUCUGGGUUUUCUAUGAUAGAUGAUGCAAACUUUGUUUUAUUACUGCUGAUGCUGAUUCCAUACACUUGCUUGUGGAACUUUUCCUGCAUGGCAACAGUUUCAAAUCAUUAAUUUACAUGAAUGGAAAGGUUUAUGGUUAUAAGGGAACUCUGAGUACCACUAAUACUACAUGUUACACAAAUGAACUUAUUGAUUGAGUCGGAGGUUCAUAUGGGAAAAUACAUAGCUCAAUGUCAUGCUAGAUGUGCUCGGACAGUAUAAAUUAGGGAGAGCCAAAUAUUUUCUCCUUUGAAACUUUUUCUUUGCCUGAGGGAUU